CUUUGUGUUUCUCUCUUCCUCUUUAGGACAGCAGUCACCCUGAGACGUUGAUCAACCUCAUCGUGCUGACUCAGCACCUGGGCAAAGCUCCCGAGGUAACUAACCGGUACCUCUCUCAGCUGAAGGAUGCCCACAGAGCCCAUCCAUUCCUGAAAGACUACUUAGCCAAGGAGAACGAGUUUGACAGACUAGUGAUGCAGUUCGCUCCCAGCGUUACAGCAUAAGACAUCUGCUUUUCACCGAGACCCCUCUCCACAGUAUAUCACCAUGAAGUUCCCUUUAUAACUUGUGUUUGUUUUUGAUAUUUUUACAUGUCAAAUUAAAACUGUAGCUGCAUAUUUAAACCACAACAGAAGUCAUAAUUCCCCCUGGCUGUAGAUGCAACAACUCUUCUUAUUCAUUUGAAUUUCUCUCAUUGAAAUCAACAUCUCUUUUAUUGUAAGCAUUCCAUUUAAAUCAUAAUAAAUGUUUAAUGACAUGCAUUGUA
Notothenia coriiceps (black rockcod) is the source of this 487-nucleotide long non-coding RNA. RefSeq lists it as uncharacterized. The record is from RefSeq and is a predicted model, not a curated record. Lineage: Eukaryota; Metazoa; Chordata; Actinopteri; Perciformes; Nototheniidae. The transcript is spliced from 3 exons.